UGAAUUAUUGAUAUUGGAAUCUCUUUUGGCUUAAACUUCCUUUCAGUUUCCAGGGGUGUUAACAGUCCUUUCGAUUUUGAUCCUCUCAUGACUAUGUUCAGCCUUAACCUACCAUUAUUUGAUGUCAUUGGGACAUUUAAAAGUUUGUGAAGUACCCUUGUCGGACUAAUGUGAAUGGUUAUUAUGAUAUGAGAUGUGUUUCUAGUGCCUUUACUGUUGCACGUGCCAAGUGGAUGGUUGUUAUUGAAAGAAUACUGGAAGAAACUUUAUACCACUGUCUUACUCAAAAUAUUAACAAAAGACUCUACUUAUAGUAGUAUCAUACUUGUGUUUGUUGCACAAAAUUAGCACCACUAACUAAUGGACAAAAAGAACUCUAAAAUUUCUCAACAAAUUACACACAUAAUCGCAUGAUUAUGGAACUAACUCUAUAAAUUUGAAAUCAUUAAGAAACAAAUAAAUACUUGGUCUGCCCAUAGUUGAAUUAACUCCAAAAGAGGCCAGUUAUCGGUAAUAAUAAGAUAUUUGAAAGUUGGAGUUGGUUAAUAGUACUGACCCUUCCCUUCAAAUAAAGUAAUAACAUGAGAUAUAGGCAAAUGCUGCCAUCAAUAACUAGAUCAUCAUCAAAAACAGCAACUAAUGAAGAAAUCUGUGACAUCGCAUUUCUCAGAGAAGGCCUUGUAUGAUCAAUAACAGAAGUAGCAUAAUCUACAUAACUCUGACUCCAUGAUUUUGAUAUUAAAUUGUCAAAAGAAACCCCUCCUUGAAACUUAAGUAGUCUGAACUUCCUUCUUUCCCUCAUAAUAUUGAUAGCUUUGCAAAUUUUUGAAACAAAAUGUUGUUAUUCCAUGUGUAAAAGCAUCAAAAUAAAAAAAUAAAAAAAGGAAGAUAGCGGAUUCAACAUGAAACAGAAAAUGACUCGAGUGACAUGAUAAAAUAAGCAAAUAUAGACCUGUCAACAUAAAUGAUAUUGGAAAAGUGGCACAGCCACAUAGCAAAUUCAUUCCAAAGAUGAAAAAGUUUUGGUUGAUGCCCACCAAUGUUGUUUCUAUGGAAUAUUUUGCAGCGAAAGGACGAAGCAAGUUAUUGAUGGCAUAGAAAAUACUAUGGGUAAACUAAUAUAGAUGUCAUUGAAUAUGUGGAUCAGCAACAAAACAAAACAAUAAUGAUACUGUUUUAUCUUCUUAAUUUACUGAUGAGAGAAUGAACAAAUGACUAGGCAGAUUUUUGCUCUCUCUUUCUGGAUAGCCCGUCUGCACAUGAGAUUGUACCCUGUAAACCACUCUCUUGGCCAGUUCAAUUGAUGCAAGCAAAUACUCAAAAAAAUGAUGUGAAAAAACAUAGUAUGUUUUCAAAUUUUAACAAGUCCAUGCCCAGGUGUCAUAGCACAAAAUUUAAUCACACAGGACCAUUGGAUUACUAAGCAAUCAUACAAGUGACAACUAAUGCAAAAUCACACUCUAAAUAAGUUUAACACUCAUGCAAACUUUUAAAGCUUACAAACAUAAACGCUAACCUGAAGAUGGACUUGCAAAAGGCUUUCUAUGUGUUCAGCAUAAAAUGCCCCAAUAACAUAGUGGAAAACAUCAGAUUUCCAGCACAGGCACAAGAAAUUUGGCACACCUAUGUAGUUCUUUAGCAACUGGCACAUCAAAGACUUGACAACAGCUUCCCUGCCUUCUCAACAAUGAUUCAUGAACAGACGAGCAUCUAUCUGCUUUUCCAUGUUUCAAAUUAAUGAAAAGCCUUCAUUUCCAUGAACUGAAAUCAACAGACUGAAGUGAUACACGACCAACAUAAAAAUCCUUUAAAUGCUGGUUACACAACCCAAUUCGCCUUCCAUUCAAACUGGGAUGCAUACAAGCUGAAAAGCCUGUCUUCCAGACAGGAAACUUCUGUCUUUCCAUCACAUGAAGUGUAUAAACACUUGGUGCAGCUGCUGAGCACCCCAUAACAAAACAAUUGCAAGGCCGUGACGGACUUACCAUUCUCGCUAGCGAUAGUAAACACAUGCCACUGUAAGAAAUUCCAUACAUUAAUGCUUCAUCAUUUUCAAAAGCUAGAAAGUUUGAUGCCUCAUUUUCCACCUCUUGCUCUAUAUCUCGGAUAGAAAAGAUACUUCUCAGCUCUAAAUCAAACCGUAUCUCCACUUCAGUUUCAUGAAUUCUAUACUUUGCAGCUAAAGUACGAAUGCAAGAUUUCCAAACUUGAUUCUUAAUUAUGAGCUCUAUAUCAGCAAAAUUCUCAAAAUCACCAUACCACCUAUUCCAACGGUAAACGAUACCUGAAAACCAGUCGAUAAUCUGAUCCUUAUCUUGUAAAAUAAGUUUAGGAUUCACACAGGAGUGUCCUUCAGAUGUGAUCAAUCCAUAUCGUAAUAAACGCUUCUUAAUGACAUUAACAGGAGCAAUAAUCUCAGUGAUGAUUUCAGAGGAUGAGCUGGAAUUUGGCAAAAGAGCAAGAGUCAUAGCUGUCUCAGAAUUAAUGUAUUCUUUUGCACACUUUUGAAAUUCAUGAAAGGAAUCUCUCAGUUCUUGUGGAAGGGCUGGUUCUGCAACAUACUUAGAUAAGAUAAAUUCUUCACACUCUACUGUUUUUGUUUUAAUGUCAUUUAUCCAUAUUUUAAGUAAGUGCUUAUACCAAUGAUCAGUUUCCAUUCCAGCUUUGCGAAAGCAGGAAAUUUGACUCAAUAGAGAGCUGCUAUCAGCUAAAUGCUUGAUUUCUGACUCUUUGACCUUCCUCAAACCAUGAGCCAACCAUUUCUUCCCAAUUCUGAUCGUCCCAGCAUCCCAAGCCUCUUGUUUUUGUAGAGAAAACAUCUUGACUUUGUCUUUCAACUUGUGAACAGCCCUUACAGCAGCACUCUCUUUCACACGUCGUCUAACCAAAGUGCCUAGAAAGCGAAUUGUUUGAGGUCCUGCACAAGAUAUUAUUUCUGUUUCAAUAGAAACAUCUAACUGCAAAGAAUUCUGCAAGUAACCCACAACAUCAGACUUGAAACCAAGAGCAACAUCUUUCGAUCCAGAAACUGCAAAAAAUAACUCAUCCAUGAAGCGACAACAAUGAAUUCUUGGACCAGAAUUUUUCCCAGCCAUUGUUUUAAGAUCAUCGCCUUUAAGCUGUCUCCUAAACCAGCUGCGUAGCUUGGAAUUGAAUUGCUCUCCUUCAAGAUGAUAACCCGAAUUGAGAGCUUCAUAGUUCAUUGAAAGCCUAUAAAAUUCAUGGUCAAAGUCAUUAAGGUAUAUGUUCAUUAGUAUCGGAGACAACACUCCCUCUUGUGGAAGACCAUGGCCCUUUGGGUAACCCCCAAACUCCAAGUUGAGCACCUGGGCAGCAUACAUGCCUCGAAUCAUAUCAUAAAAGCGAGGGUCUUCAAUCUUAUCCUCCAUUAUGGAGAUAAGUUUAUCGAGGACAUACGUGUCCAGCUUUUUACUUACAAUUAAUGUAAACCACCAAUCAGGAUUAGAGAUGUCUUUGCUGAUGUAUUUCAAUGCUGAAUGGUGCCCCCUUCCACUUCGACAACCAUGGGAUGUUUUAGAAAAGUGGGGCCUGUAAACAACUUCCAAAACUAUUCUCAUGGCUUCUUGAACAACCUUCAACUUCAGUUUAGGAAGGACAAGGAUUUCCUUUCUUACACCUCUUGUUGAAAUAGAGAAAGUGUUUGUGCUAAUAUCAAAACUCCCACUAGAGAGCUCUUCUGCCAGAGGUUCAAAAGAUAUAUUGUCAUUAUCUGAUGCUAUAUCAACAUUAGCAUUGAGCCUAAUACAAUCAUAAGCAUCCCGAAGGGUUUCUGGGUUUGCAAUCACUCUAAUCAUUAAAUCAUGAAACUUCCCAUUCAAAUAUUGCUCCUUCACCCUCUUCUUUAUGCGGAGUUCAAGAGACCUCUUGAGCUCCAUUCGACUCUUGCAUCUUCUAUCAUUAAGAUUGGAAGAUUCCUCAAGAAGAAAACCUAAAUUUUUUGCCAGUGUUGCUUUUCCAGUGCCCAUAUUAAUGCUAUCAUUAACUUCUGUAAGAGUAGAAUAAUUUGUGCAAGCUUGCAAUCUUUCUAUUGGUGUUCCUGACAAGUGUGAGGUGGUGCGUUUCAUCCUUGCAGAUGAGUUGCAUAGGAUUCUGUUUCCGGAGAAGCGGUUGAGGCAAUGUUUCUUGCUGCAGUGCCAUCUCUGCUGCUGCUGCUGGUGGUGGGAAGUCUCCCAUGGUUGCCCCAAAAGAAGUGUUUGCCCAAAUUGCGGUAAAAACAGAUAAUAAAGCGAAGAGAGUACAGAGGAGGCAAGAGAGACGCGGUAGUGAAGUGGGUGCAGUGCAUAUAACUUGAGAAAGUGGCGAAAGUGAGCUCUGUUGAGAAAAAUCUUUAGCUCCAUGUAUGAUUUUAGGGUUAUCUGAACAUCGGGAACUCUCAUCCUUGCAGGACAUGAUUAAAUCCCUGUUGGGUUUGAUGUGAAUGCUGAUUUUGAUGGAGAAAUUUGUGUGUUGCGUUACUUUUAGUCAUUUGGGUAGUAUGCUGCGAGCAGUUCAUAGGGCAGAAGGUAUCCUUGUUAGCUGCCAGGUUGUAAUCGGCGGGAGACAGGG
Molecule: unclassified non-coding RNA, 4566 nt
Filed under: Hevea brasiliensis (rubber tree)
Lineage: Eukaryota; Viridiplantae; Streptophyta; Magnoliopsida; Malpighiales; Euphorbiaceae
Source: RNAcentral